AGUGAUAUGUCUGAUUAAAAGUAAUAAACUGUAAAUUUAUCCAUAAAUAUAUUAAAUAUUAUAUUUUAUCACUA
RNAcentral lists this transfer RNA (74 nucleotides) under Gasteruption sp. M19. RNAcentral's name for it is "tRNA-Tyr". The record is from RNAcentral. Lineage: Eukaryota; Metazoa; Arthropoda; Insecta; Hymenoptera; Gasteruptiidae.